Molecule: ribosomal RNA, 533 nt
Filed under: uncultured Bacillus sp.
Lineage: Bacteria; Bacillati; Bacillota; Bacilli; Caryophanales; Bacillaceae
Description: bacterial SSU rRNA
Rfam family: Bacterial small subunit ribosomal RNA
Source: RNAcentral
GAGUUUGAUCAUGGCUCAGGACGAACGCUGGCGGCGUGCCUAAUACAUGCAAGUCGAGCGGACCUUAAAAAGCUUGCUUUUUAAGGUUAGCGGCGGACGGGUGAGUAACACGUGGGCAACCUGCCCGUAAGACCGGGAUAACUUCGGGAAACCGGAGCUAAUACCGGAUAACACCGAGGACCGCAUGGUCCUCGGUUGAAAGGCGGCUUUGGCUGUCACUUACGGAUGGGCCCGCGGCGCAUUAGCUAGUUGGUGAGGUAACGGCUCACCAAGGCGACGAUGCGUAGCCGACCUGAGAGGGUGAUCGGCCACACUGGGACUGAGACACGGCCCAGACUCCUACGGGAGGCAGCAGUAGGGAAUCUUCCGCAAUGGACGAAAGUCUGACGGAGCAACGCCGCGUGAGCGAAGAAGGUCUUCGGAUUGUAAAGCUCUGUUGUUAGGGAAGAAGAGGUGCCGUUCGAACAGGGCGGUACCGUGACGGUACCUAACGAGAAAGCCACGGCUAACUACGUGCCAGCAGCCGCCGUAAC